This 253-nucleotide ribosomal RNA is filed under the name uncultured bacterium. Its description in RNAcentral is "partial 16S ribosomal RNA". It matches the Rfam family "Bacterial small subunit ribosomal RNA", at positions 524 to 776 of the family's 1533-position model. The record is from RNAcentral.
UACGAAGGGGGCUAGCGUUGCUCGGAAUUACUGGGCGUAAAGCGCACGUAGGCGGAUUGUUAAGUCGGGGGUGAAAUCCUGGAGCUCAACUCCAGAACUGCCUUCGAUACUGAGAGUCUCGAGUCCGAGAGAGGUGAGUGGAACUGCGAGUGUAGAGGUGAAAUUCGUAGAUAUUCGCAAGAACACCAGUGGCGAAGGCGGCUCACUGGCUCGGUACUGACGCUGAGGUGCGAAAGCGUGGGGAGCAAACAGG